Molecule: long non-coding RNA, 294 nt
Organism: Austrofundulus limnaeus
Lineage: Eukaryota; Metazoa; Chordata; Actinopteri; Cyprinodontiformes; Rivulidae
Exons: 2
Source: RefSeq, a predicted model, not a curated record
GUAUGCCUGAGAAACACAUAAUAUUGGUCUUUAAAGCCAGCGCUUAUUUAAAUCAAUCUCUUUUGCUGCAGGCCUGUGAAGGAAAUUUUAUAAAUGAUUAACUGAAUCCAGUCUUGUGUUUUUAUACUUUCUGAUCAUCAUCAACAAAAGCUGGUUACAUUCUGAUGUUAAAGUUGUCACGUUCAGCGAUGGAACCUGGAAGAGCCUGAAGAGAGACGAUGAAGGCUCUGAGGUCUGUCUGCUGUGAAACUGAGUGGAGUCAGAAACAAGAAUAAAGUUGUGAGAAAAAUCCAA